RNAcentral lists this transfer RNA (70 nucleotides) under Candidatus Berkelbacteria bacterium CG23_combo_of_CG06-09_8_20_14_all_33_15. RNAcentral's name for it is "tRNA-Ala". It matches the Rfam family "tRNA". Rfam says of the family: Transfer RNA (tRNA) molecules are approximately 80 nucleotides in length. Lineage: Bacteria; Candidatus Berkelbacteria. The record is from RNAcentral.
GGGCUCGUAGCUUAGUGGCAGAGUGCUUGUAUGGCAUACAAGAGGUCGGGAGUUCGAUUCUCCCCGAGUC